UGGUAGUNCACGCCGUAAACGAUGAGUGCUAGGUGUUAGGCCCUUUCCGGGGCUUAGUGCCGGAGCUAACGCAAUAAGCACUCCGCCUGGGGAGUACGACCGCAAGGUUGAAACUCAAAGGAAUUGACGGGGGCCCGCACNAGCGGUGGAGCAUGUGGUUUAAUUCGAAGCAACGCGAAGAACCUUACCAGGUCUUGACAUCCCGAUGCUAUUCUUAGAGAUAGGGAGUUACUUCGGUACAUCGGAGACAGGUGGUGCAUGGUUGUCGUCAGCUCGUGUCGUGAGAUGUUGGGUUNNNNNNNGCNACGAGCGCAACCCUUAUUGUUAGUUGCCAUCAUUAAGUUGGGCACUCUAGCGAGACUGCCGGUAAUAAACCGGAGGAAGGUGGGGAUGACGUCAAAUCAUCAUGCCCCUUAUGACCUGGGCUACACACGUGCUACAAUGGUCGGUACAACGAGUUGCGAGCCGGUGACGGCAAGCUAAUCUCUGAAAGCCGAUCUCAGUUCGGAUUGGAGGCUGCAACUCGCCUCCAUGAAGUCGGAAUCGCUAGUAAUCGCGGAUCAGCACGCCGCGGUGAAUACGUUCCCGGGCCUU
This 594-nucleotide ribosomal RNA is filed under the name uncultured bacterium. Its description in RNAcentral is "bacterial SSU rRNA". It matches the Rfam family "Bacterial small subunit ribosomal RNA", at positions 788 to 1382 of the family's 1533-position model. The record is from RNAcentral.